RNAcentral lists this ribosomal RNA (272 nucleotides) under Helicotheca tamesis. RNAcentral's name for it is "partial Eukaryotic large subunit ribosomal RNA". It matches the Rfam family "Eukaryotic large subunit ribosomal RNA", at positions 1597 to 1863 of the family's 3401-position model. The record is from RNAcentral. Lineage: Eukaryota; Bacillariophyta; Thalassiosirophyceae; Lithodesmiales; Lithodesmiaceae.
AAAGGAAAUCGGGUUAAUAUUCCCGAACCAGGACGUGGAUACCGAGUGGCGACACAAGCGAAGCCGGGGACGGCGGCGCGGGCUCCGACAAGAGUUUUCUUUUCUUGUUAACAGUGUGGGCGGCCCCUGGAAUCGGAUUGCCCGGCGAGAGGGGUCGGCCCGUAUGGGAAAGCGGCUUAAUCUUGGAGCCGUUCGGAACGCUCGCGACGUCCCUUGAAAACCCGGCGGAGUGACUUAUUCGCACCCCUGGUCGUACUCAUAACCGCAUCAGG